RNAcentral lists this ribosomal RNA (253 nucleotides) under uncultured bacterium. RNAcentral describes it as "partial 16S ribosomal RNA". It matches the Rfam family "Bacterial small subunit ribosomal RNA", at positions 524 to 776 of the family's 1533-position model. The record is from RNAcentral.
UACGUAGGGCGCAAGCGUUAUCCGGAAUUAUUGGGCGUAAAGAGCUCGUAGGCGGUUUGUCGCGUCUGCCGUGAAAGUCCGGGGCUCAACUCCGGAUCUGCGGUGGGUACGGGCAGACUAGAGUGAUGUAGGGGAGACUGGAAUUCCUGGUGUAGCGGUGAAAUGCGCAGAUAUCAGGAGGAACACCGACGGCGAAGGCAGGUCUCUGGGCAUUAACUGACGCUGAGGAGCGAAAGCAUGGGGAGCGAACAGG